RNAcentral lists this ribosomal RNA (254 nucleotides) under uncultured bacterium. Its description in RNAcentral is "partial 16S ribosomal RNA". It matches the Rfam family "Bacterial small subunit ribosomal RNA", at positions 524 to 776 of the family's 1533-position model. The record is from RNAcentral.
UACGUAGGGACCGAGCGUUGUCCGGAUUCAUUGGGCGUAAAGGGCUCGUAGGCGGCCAACUAAGUCAGACGUGAAAUGCCUCGGCUUAACCGGGGAACUGCGUCUGAUACUGGAUGGCUUGAGUUUGGGAGAGGGAUGCGGAAUUCCAGGUGUAGCGGUGAAAUGCGUAGAUAUCUGGAGGAACACCGGUGGCGAAGGCGGCAUCCUGGACCAACACUGACGCUGAGUGAGCGAAAGCCAGGGGAGCAAACGGG